This 802-nucleotide long non-coding RNA is filed under the name Homo sapiens (human). Its description in RNAcentral is "non-protein coding lnc-MYO1E-1:1". Lineage: Eukaryota; Metazoa; Chordata; Mammalia; Primates; Hominidae. The record is from RNAcentral.
AUGCCAAAAGGGAAGAAGGCCAAGGGGAAGAAGGUGGCUCCAGCUGCUGCUGUCGCGAAGAAGCAGGAGGCCAGGAAAGUGGUGAAUCCCGUGUUGGAGAAAAGGCCUAAGAAUCUUGGCAUUGGACAGCACACCCAACCCAAAAGGGACCUCACUUGCUUUGUCAAAUGGCCCCACUUUAUCAGGUUGCAGAGGCAAAGAGCGAUCCUCUAAACAUGGCUGAAAGUGCCUCCUGCAACGAACCAGUUCACCCAGGCCUUGGACCCCCAAAGAGCUACUCAACUGUAAUACAUAAGCUGGCCCACUAGUACAGACCAGAGACAAAGCAAGAGAAGAAGCAGAGGCUGCUGGCCUGGACUGAGAAGAAAGCUGCCAGCAAAGGGGACUUCCCCACUAAGAGACCACCUGUUUUUCGAGCAGGAGUUAUCACCAUUGCCACCUUGGUGGAGAAUAAGAAGGCUCAGCUGGUGGUGACUGGACAUGAUGUGGAUCCCAUCGAGCUAGUUUUGAUAGUGCAUUUUUCUGUGUUGUAAAAUAAAGGUCACUGACUGCAUUAUCAAGGGGAAGGUAAGACUGGGAUGUCUAGUCCACAGGAACACCUGCACCACUGUCACCACACAGCCUAACUUGGAAGACAAAGAAGCUUCGGCUCAGCUGGAGGAAGCCAUCAGAACCAAUUAGAACAGCAGAUACGAUGAGAUCCAUCAUCACUGGGGAGGCAAUGUCCUGGCUCCCAAGUCUGUGGCUCUCAUUGCCAAGCUGGAAAAGCCAAGGCUAAAGAACUUGCCACCAAACUGGGUUA